RNAcentral lists this ribosomal RNA (780 nucleotides) under Allantophomopsiella pseudotsugae. RNAcentral describes it as "SSU rRNA". It matches the Rfam family "Bacterial small subunit ribosomal RNA", at positions 369 to 1134 of the family's 1533-position model. The record is from RNAcentral. Lineage: Eukaryota; Fungi; Ascomycota; Leotiomycetes; Phacidiales; Phacidiaceae.
CAAUAGCCUAACGGCUGAACCAGCAAUUUGGGGGAAUGUAAAUAGCUUUGUGACCUUCUUACCCUUCGUAAUGAGGGGUGAAGAGGCCAAUAAACAAAGCUAGAUCAGUUUAGCUGAAUAAAGUUCUAGAUAGAAUACUGAUAAUGACAAUUUUCUAUCUAUAUGUCUUGACCAAAUUACGUGCCAGCAGUCGCGGUAAUACGUAGAAGACUAGUGUUAUUCAUCUUCAUUAGGUUUAAAGGGUACCUAGACGGUAUUACUAGCCCAAAACAGGGUACAGUUUUACUAGAGUUUUAUAUGAGGAGGGGAGUAUUUGGGGAGUAGAGAUAAUAUUUUUUCAUACCGUGAAGACUGGUAACGGCGAAAGCAACCUCCUAUCUAAAAACUGACGUUGAGGGACGAAGGCUUGGGUCGCAAAAAGGAUUAGAAACCCUAGUAGUCCAAGCAGAGAAUUAUGAAUGCCACGGGUUAGAGUAUAUUAUUUAAUUCAGUUAGUGAUUUAGAUAAAUAUUAAUCUGUAAAUGAAAGUGUAAGCAUUCCACCUUAAGAGUAAUGUGGCAACGCAGGAAUUAAAAUCAUUAGACCGUUUCUGAAACCAGUAGUGGAGUAUGUUAUUUAAUUCGAUAGUCCUCGAAAAACCUUACCACAAUUUGUAUAUUAUUUUAUAAUUAAAAUAAUACAAGCGUUGCACGGUUGUCUUAAGUUGAUGUCGUGAGAUUUUGGUUAGUUCCAUAAAAUUAACGUAAACCCUUGCUUUAUUUUUAAAUUUAUAUUAUAAAU